This 253-nucleotide ribosomal RNA is filed under the name uncultured bacterium. Its description in RNAcentral is "partial 16S ribosomal RNA". It matches the Rfam family "Bacterial small subunit ribosomal RNA", at positions 524 to 776 of the family's 1533-position model. The record is from RNAcentral.
UACGGGGGGGGUAAGCGUUGUUCGGAUUUACUGGGCGUAAAGGGCGCGUAGGCGGCCUGCUAAGUCGAACGUGAAAUCCCCGGGCUCAACCCGGGAACUGCGUCCGAUACUGGCAGGCUUGAAUUCGGGAGAGGGAUGCGGAAUUCCAGGUGUAGCGGUGAAAUGCGUAGAUAUCUGGAGGAACACCGGUGGCGAAGGCGGCAUCCUGGACCGAAAUUGACGCUGAGGCGCGAAAGCCAGGGGAGCAAACGGG